GACAGAAUUGAAAUGCCUGUGGCCACACA
Molecule: non-coding RNA, 29 nt
Filed under: Mus musculus (house mouse)
Lineage: Eukaryota; Metazoa; Chordata; Mammalia; Rodentia; Muridae
Source: RNAcentral